This 354-nucleotide long non-coding RNA is filed under the name Homo sapiens (human). RNAcentral describes it as "pncCCND1_B". Lineage: Eukaryota; Metazoa; Chordata; Mammalia; Primates; Hominidae. The record is from RNAcentral.
UGAGAUUCUUUGGCCGUCUGUCCGCCCGUGGGUGCCCUCGUGGCGUUCUUGGAAAUGCGCCCAUUCUGCCGGCUUGGAUAUGGGGUGUCGCCGCGCCCCAGUCACCCCUUCUCGUGGUCUCCCCAGGCUGCGUGUGGCCUGCCGGCCUUCCUAGUUGUCCCCUACUGCAGAGCCACCUCCACCUCACCCCCUAAAUCCCGGGGGACCCACUCGAGGCGGACGGGGCCCCCUGCACCCCUCUUCCCUGGCGGGGAGAAAGGCUGCAGCGGGGCGAUUUGCAUUUCUAUGAAAACCGGACUACAGGGGCAACUCCGCCGCAGGGCAGGCGCGGCGCCUCAGGGAUGGCUUUUGGGC